Bombyx mori (domestic silkworm) is the source of this 1634-nucleotide long non-coding RNA. RefSeq lists it as uncharacterized. The transcript is spliced from 3 exons. NCBI's taxonomy places the organism in Eukaryota, Metazoa, Arthropoda, Insecta, Lepidoptera, Bombycidae. The record is from RefSeq and is a predicted model, not a curated record.
UAAUUACUCGUAAAUAUUCAUUUUCGAUUGUUCUUAUAUAAAAUACGUUUGUUCUCUUUCGAAAUUACUCAUUUUUUGUUUAAUUAAUUGUAUUAGUUGAAUAAAUGUAUACAAAAUAUGUGUACUGCGCAUGCCAUAAGUGUAUAAUCUAUGGCGCAUGCGUCAACUAUAAUGCCUAAACUUUCUACGCGGUUUUAAUCGUGAAAAAAAAACAAUUAUAAAUCCUGAAGGAUCGAUUAAUUGGUAUACAGUUUAAUUAAAAAAAUUAAAAAAUAAAUAAAUAAAAUAAUGUGCAUUCGCGUAAAGUUAGACCAAAUACAUUUUUUCCAUCCUCCUAUAUACCUAUCGCUAUGAAGGUAUAAAAAAGAUAGGUUAAGAGUUCACAUAGGUUAUGUAUUGAAAUUGUUGGAAAAUUAUUUCAUGUUUUAGCUGGAAAACUACAUGGAGAAUUAUAUGCAAUACAAGAUAAUGAGCUCCAUUAAAUGAAUUCGAAUGAAACCAAACUGUUUACCAUUCAAAUUCGAUUGUCGGGCAGAUAGAAAACGAAAAUUCACUCAUAGUGAACCUCGGCCUGCAUUUGUGAAACGGCAAAGACUCACUAUUAUCAAGGAAAUUGAAGAGACGACUAAAAAUGAGAUGUGUCGUAUUAUUAUACCUUUGCCAUCUUGUAGUCAAGAUGUCCAGCCACUUGAAAAUAGGUGUAGUAAUGACAAAGCUAUCCAAGUAGCUCCAGCACAGGAACACAAAGGCAAGGCAAGUGUGUAUUGCCACAUCACCCCUUAAUAUAUCUGAAGCAAGUAUAAGUAAACAAUCAGAACCAGCAAAAAAAAAACUGUUGUUCCUGAGGACAAAUUUGACAGUGAUGAGUCAAAUGCACCAGCAACAGAAGGAUCAACUGUUGACUAUGAGCUAUCUCUCUAUAUCUCCACUCCAUCAAAGACUUGUGCACUUCAGACUAUAGCUCUCAAGAAGACUAAAAAGUUGAAAAAAUGAAUGUGUUAACAACUUUAUCUAAAGUGAAAAAUAAACAACGUUUAUAUAUUGGUCUUCCACAAGAAUUAUGUUUCAUAAUAGGCUUGAUUGAGAAACAUACAAAUGUUUCUGAACAAAAUAUUAUAUUAUGUCUGAUGAGAAUAACAUUAAAUAGAACAUUCUCUCAAUUGGCUGAUGAUUUCGAUUUAUCUGUAAGUCAAGCAAGCAAUAUAUAUAUAAUAUAUUUUUCAACAAACUCCCAGAAAUUGCAAAUGUAAUAUCACCCCUUGUUAGACUAUAAAAAAAACAAUACAAUAAAUAUAUAUGCAGGAAGGAUAAUUGAUGUCAACUUGGUGGAAAAUAGAAAGUUUUCAGAUAGUUUGCCACCUACAAAACUCUUUAAUUAAAUAAGUAAUCCUUACUUAUAAAUAGGAAUUUUUGUAAGUAUUUUCACUCUUCAUUCAAAAACUACUGAACAGAUUUUAAUAAGACUUCUAUGCUGGUCUUCUAUGGCUAGCAACUCAUUACUAUUUUGAUUCUGUUUUCCACAAAUGUGCUAAAUAUGGGCUUAUAUAUAUGAAAAGGAAUAAAUAUUAAUGUUAUGUAACCUUUGUACCUGUAUGUUAAGAAUAAUUUUUAAUAAAACAUAAUUUAAAUUGAAA